AUUGAACGCUGGCGGAAUGCUUUACACAUGCAAGUCGAACGGCAGCACGGGGGCAGCCCUGGUGGCGAGUGGCGAACGGGUGAGUAAUACAUCGGAACGUGCCCGGUCGUGGGGGAUAACGUAGCGAAAGUUACGCUAAUACCGCAUACGAUCUGAGGAUGAAAGCGGGGGACCUUCGGGCCUCGCGCGAUCGGAGCGGCCGAUGUCAGAUUAGGUAGUUGGUGGGGUAAAGGCCUACCAAGCCGACGAUCUGUAGCUGGUCUGAGAGGACGACCAGCCACACUGGGACGGAGACACGGCCCAGACUCCUACGGGAGGCAGCAGUGGGGAAUUUUGGACAAUGGGCGCAAGCCUGAUCCAGCCAUUCCGCGUGCAGGACGAAGGCCUUCGGGUUGUAAACUGCUUUUGUACGGAACGAAAAGGCUCUGGCUAAUACCUGGGGCUCAUGACGGUACCGUAAGAAUAAGCACCGGCUAACUACGUG
This 484-nucleotide ribosomal RNA is filed under the name uncultured bacterium. RNAcentral describes it as "partial 16S ribosomal RNA". It matches the Rfam family "Bacterial small subunit ribosomal RNA", at positions 29 to 507 of the family's 1533-position model. The record is from RNAcentral.